This 318-nucleotide ribosomal RNA is filed under the name uncultured Tomentella. Its description in RNAcentral is "eukaryotic LSU rRNA". The stretch from base 263 to 318 matches the Rfam family "Eukaryotic large subunit ribosomal RNA", at positions 1 to 56 of the family's 3401-position model. Lineage: Eukaryota; Fungi; Basidiomycota; Agaricomycetes; Thelephorales; Thelephoraceae. The record is from RNAcentral.
UUUGGCUAUUCCGAAGGGCAUGCCUGUUUGAGUAUCAUGAACACCUCAACUCUCGUGGUUCGCCAUGGAGAGCUUGGACUUUGGGGGUCUUUGCUGGCCUGUGGUCAGCUCCUCUCAAAUGAAUCAGCUUGCCGGUGUUUGGUGGCGUCACAAGUGUGAUAACUAUCUACGCUUGUGGUUUUCCGCCAGAUGACCUUCAGCAAUGGAGGUCCACUGGAGCUCAUAAAUGUCUCUCCCCAGUGAGGACAGCUCUUUGAAUGUUUGAUCUCAAAUCAGGUAGGACUACCCGCUGAACUUAAGCAUAUCAAUAAGCGGAGG